RNAcentral lists this non-coding RNA (28 nucleotides) under Cricetulus griseus (Chinese hamster). Lineage: Eukaryota; Metazoa; Chordata; Mammalia; Rodentia; Cricetidae. The record is from RNAcentral.
UGGAUAGUGACGAUGUUUGGAUGGUUGA